GGAGAGGUGGCCGAGUGGCUGAAGGCGCUUCCCUGCUAAGGAAGUAUGCGGUAACCCCGUAUCGAGGGUUCGAAUCCCUCCCUCUCCG
Molecule: transfer RNA, 88 nt
Filed under: Actinomycetota bacterium
Lineage: Bacteria; Bacillati; Actinomycetota
Description: tRNA-Ser
Rfam family: tRNA
About the family: Transfer RNA (tRNA) molecules are approximately 80 nucleotides in length. Their secondary structure includes four short double-helical elements and three loops (D, anti-codon, and T loops).
Source: RNAcentral